Saccostrea echinata is the source of this 1021-nucleotide long non-coding RNA. RefSeq lists it as uncharacterized. The record is from RefSeq and is a predicted model, not a curated record. The transcript is spliced from 3 exons. NCBI's taxonomy places the organism in Eukaryota, Metazoa, Mollusca, Bivalvia, Ostreida, Ostreidae.
AAAAACGAUGACAAAAUCAUUCGCAGUAUACUGGUACAUUAUUUCUUUCCAUGAGCAUCUCAUGUCUGUGCCAAGCUGGAGUGAAAUCCUUCAAAAAUAUCACCUGUUUUAGAAUUGAAGAAAAAUGAAGAGAAGGUUGAAAUUGCAAGCAUAUUUCAAAUGAAGACUCGGACGACUACCAGUGCAGGCCAUUGAGGGGCGCAGACCGUCUGCCGGCCGGCCAAGUCCCUCGACCAGCUCGGCCAAAUACCAGUGCAGCCUGUUGAGGGGGACAUACUGCUGGCCGGCCAAGUCCCAUGACCACUUCAGCCUACUACCAGUACAACCUGUCAAGGGGCGCAGACCGCUGGCCGGACGGCCAAGUCCCUCGACCAGCUUGGCCAACUACUGGUGCAGCCCGUCUUUAAAUAAUCCAGAUAAAAAUCACAACUGUACAACCACAAGGAUACCUGUGCAAGGACUUGGGUGGUAUGCAGCUAAGAACUGUGACCGAAAUCACUGCGUAGAACCUUCUUUUUUUUUUUUUUGAAGUACAGCUAGAUCAUGGCGCUAACAUGAAAAACUAGAGAGUUAAAAUCUAGGCAGUGAUGCCUAUUUAUAAAAGUUCACAAGAGUAGAAUGCAGUUUACUAGGUAAUUUUACAAAAACUCUUAUGACUAUAUGCUAAAAAAAUGUAUUUUAAGAAAACAACCAUUCUGAGAAAUUUCAAUCUGUUAUGAUGGCUUGAUGAAAAAUAAGGUAGACUUGAAAACAUGAAUGUGCAUUCAUUCAAUUGUAUUUGACAAUGAACCAAGCUCUCUUAAUCAUGUUUAUAAAAUAAAAUUGUAAGUGCUUUUAAUUUUUUUUAAAUAAUCUUUUUUGUAAAAAUUUUAAUAAUCUUUUUGUAAAAAUUUUAAUGAGUAGCUUUUUUAAAGCCUAUAAUUGAGUAAUUCCACCACAGGUUAACAUGAAGUGUAUAAUUUUAUUGUAACUUUUAUUAGGUAUAACUUUUAUUAGGUAUAACUUUUUGUAGUUAUAACUU